CCUAAAACUGCUCUCAAAAAAUUGAAGUCUAAAAGAAAAGAGCCUAGAAAAAGCCAAUCAAACAGGUAAUAUUGUGUGGUUGCUGGGGUUGGCGGGGAGUGGCACCGUUCAUUAGAAAAGCAUCUUAUUCAAAGGCGUGGACCUUGACCACUCCUUCAUUCAACAUUAGGGAACAUCCCUCUCGGGAUUUUGGCUCAAGGAAAAAAGAGAAACAGCCACGCAGAACAGAGGAGGGCCCCAAACCGGAGAGGACAGGCUACCGGAGGAGGUCUUCAACAGGGCAAGAGUGGAGAAAAUGAAAUGAGCUGAAGAGUGCGUAUGAAAUUUAUUUUAUUCAAGUGAAGAUUUAUGCUGGCAGAUUUUAUUCCGGCUGACAUUGACCUUUUCGGACGAGAUGAGAGUUUCUGCGGGUCAGGACUCUGGGAGCAGCCUCACUAUGCUGUUCUGGCUCAGGAUCUCCAAUGAAGCUGUGGUCAAGAUGUCGGCUGGGCUUAGUCAUCUGAAGGCUCGACUGGGGUGGAGGGUCUGCUCCCAAGAUGGCACACUCCAUGCCUGUUAGCUGGAGGCCUCAUCUCCUCCCAGUGUGAGCCUCUCCACUGGGCUGCUUGAGUGUCCUUGAGACAGGCCACUGCUUCCACCAGAGCAAGCAACCCAAGGGAAAGGGAGACAGAGGCCACAGUGGCCCUCAUACUCCAGCCUCCAGUGUGAUCUCCCACCGUUCCUCCUGGGUUCUGCUGGUUACACACAUAAUCUUGGUCCGUUCAGGCUGCUAUGACAAAAUACCACAAACUGGGUGGCU
Molecule: long non-coding RNA, 799 nt
Organism: Equus quagga
Lineage: Eukaryota; Metazoa; Chordata; Mammalia; Perissodactyla; Equidae
Exons: 3
Source: RefSeq, a predicted model, not a curated record